This 304-nucleotide ribosomal RNA is filed under the name uncultured soil bacterium. Its description in RNAcentral is "partial 16S ribosomal RNA". It matches the Rfam family "Bacterial small subunit ribosomal RNA", at positions 26 to 332 of the family's 1533-position model. The record is from RNAcentral.
AGAUUGAACGCUGGCGGUAUGCCUUACACAUGCAAGUCGAACGCGAAAGGGGGGGCAACCCCCCAAGUAGAGUGGCGAACGGGUGAGUAAUACAUCGGAACGUAUCCAGUAGCGGGGGAUAACCUCUCGAAAGAGAGGCUAAUACCGCAUACGACCUACGGGUGAAAGAGGGGGAUCGCAAGACCUCUCACUAUUGGAGCGGCCGAUGUCGGAUUAGCUAGUUGGCGGGUAAAAGCCCACCAAGGCUACGAUCCGUAGCUGGUCUGAGAGGACGACCAGCCACACUGGAACUGANACACGGUCC